AUGUGGACAAAGAGACUUCGUAAUCAAGGCAUUUGCCAAGCUAAAAAAUCACAACUGCACUUGAACUUCUACGAAGAGGGGCUUUGUUUUGCACUGCAGUGCAACAAUCAUUAUGUGCACACAACACAAGAAGCACAAGCCAUGGAGGCAAAAAGAAACGAGAGAGGCAUCACCCUCGCCCGCCACACGACGCCCGACUCCUACCACCUCCCCAAGGACAUCUUCACCAAGGCAAUUGGGCGUGUUCGUCUACAACUAGUCCACGACAACAUCACCCCGACCCUCAAGGGUGUCACUGGUUGUCCGCAACACGACCAUCACAAAAAGCAAAAAAGACGAAGACCAUUACCUUGA
Molecule: ribosomal RNA, 354 nt
Filed under: Triticum aestivum (bread wheat)
Lineage: Eukaryota; Viridiplantae; Streptophyta; Magnoliopsida; Poales; Poaceae
Description: partial small subunit ribosomal RNA
Source: RNAcentral